Long non-coding RNA from Micropterus salmoides (largemouth bass), 413 nucleotides. RefSeq lists it as uncharacterized. The transcript has 3 exons. NCBI's taxonomy places the organism in Eukaryota, Metazoa, Chordata, Actinopteri, Centrarchiformes, Centrarchidae. The record is from RefSeq and is a predicted model, not a curated record.
CCGCAGGUCCAACUAACCCCCCAAACCCCCCCGACUCCCCCGUGUUUGGUUUACAGAGUCCAGCGGGUCAAUCAACAAAUUAAACUUUAUUGAUAUAGCACCUUGCCCCCAGCUGUUCCUUUGGCCGUCUCUAGAACUGGAGCACAGUCCACCACUACAACAUCAUCAGCAUCAAAUACCACCGACCAAACCUCCAACACUGUAUUCCCAAUACUAGCUUCUACCGCUACUGCCACUGUUGAUUCUGCUACUGUUCCCUUUACUACUACUACUUCUUCUCCUACUACUACUGCUGAUGCUUCUUUUACUGUUCCUACUGACCAAACCAAUGCUACUGGACAAACCACUAUAACUUACCACCAAAAUACUACAACUACAACUAGCAGUGAUCUGACCAGUACCUUCUCCAAUAC